GAUGAACGCUGGCGGCGUGCCUAAUACAUGCAAGUCGAGCGAACGGACGAGAAGCUUGCUUCUUUGAUGUUAGCGGCGGACGGGUGAGUAACACGUGGAUAACCUACCUAUAAGACUGGGAUAACUACGGGAAACCGGAGCUAAUACCGGAUAAUAUCUUGCACCGUAUGGUUCAAUAGUGAAAGACGGCCUUGCUGUCACUUAUAGGUGGAUCCGGGCUGCAUUGGCGAGUUGGUAAGUUAACGGCUUACCAAGGCAACGAUGCAUACCCGACCUGAGGGGGGGUCGGCCACCGGGGAAGCUGAACGCCGUCCCUGGCCCUAAGGGAAGGCACAGUAGGGGAUCCUACGCAAAUGGGGGAAACCUUGACGAAGGACCGCAGGUUGGAUGAAGAAGGCCUGCGUGUGGUAAAACCGUUUUAUAGGGGAAAACCAUUUUUGUAGGUAACGGUGCGCAUCUGACGGUACCUAAUCAGAAAGCCACGGCUAACUACGUG
This 496-nucleotide ribosomal RNA is filed under the name uncultured bacterium. RNAcentral's name for it is "partial 16S ribosomal RNA". It matches the Rfam family "Bacterial small subunit ribosomal RNA", at positions 28 to 507 of the family's 1533-position model. The record is from RNAcentral.